Molecule: long non-coding RNA, 1213 nt
Filed under: Citrus sinensis (sweet orange)
Lineage: Eukaryota; Viridiplantae; Streptophyta; Magnoliopsida; Sapindales; Rutaceae
Description: long non-coding RNA (CSIN_LNC000264)
Source: RNAcentral
UCACAAGACAAGACACACAACUAGCAAUACAAUGCCAAGCAUUGUAAACAUCUCAUCAAGCAAUACAAGUCUUUUCCUCUUAUCUUGUAUGAGUUUAAGUGAAUACACAUUCCGGUUUUCGAAUCUAGCAGCGGAUUUGAGUGUAAGGCUGACUCAAGCAUGUCCUCGUCAUCAUAAUAUUCAUAAUGACUCCAAUAUUGAGCUGCAUUAUGAUUCAUUUUACUACAAAUUUGACAAAUAAUCACAUCAUUUUCAUCUUGCUGCUAAGUUGGUCCUUUAGUUUGGUUGUUGUUGUUCACUAGAGGCUAAAAAGACUGUUGAAAAUUUUGCUUGUUAUGGUUAUCUAUAUCUGCCACCAUUGUUAGGAUAUAGUCCAUGUCCACAAGAUUUUCCAUAGCUACCACCACGUUGGUGCCUACCACCUCUCCCCCAUUAUCUAAAGAGUGCUUCAUUAUGAUUGACUAUAGCCAACUUGUCUUCUUAUCUUUAAGAUAUAACGAUUUGUUCAUGGUUUAGUAAAGCCAACCCAAACUUUUUCAUUGUUGGAUAAGAAGGUUUUUUCAACAUGGUUGUCUUAAAAACAACAUAUUUUGGACCAAGAGAAUGAGCAAGUUGAAAAACUUGAUCUCCAUUGGCAAUGAGUUUUCCAAUGGUAGAGAGUUAAUGAUAAAUACCUUUGAAUUUUAUGAUAAUGUCUUCAAGUUUGAGAGACCCAAAACUAUCUUUCAACUAGGAUUCUUGUUCCUUGGUUAUAGGCAACAUUUGUUGGUCCUUUAAUAGUAAGCUAGCCUUCAGCCGCAGUUGAUCCUCCUGUCACCAUACUCAGGACGUCAUCAGACAUCAUAACUCUAAGUCAACUCAUAAGUAAUCCAUCAUUAUUUUUCCAUUGCAAAUUUUCAAGAUUGGAAACUUUUUUCCAUCUUUAGAGUUGGUUCUAAAAGGAAUAGAGAUAUCAUCAAUGUGAUGCUCUAAGCCGAGACUCUUUGUAAGCAGGAGUAGUUGUGAUUUCCAUUAGAGAUAAUUAGUGUUGGUUAACUUGAUGGAAAUAAGGCUAGAGCAUUGAUGAAAAGACUGAAUUGAGAGUUUAGGAUCUUGUUUUGAGGAUGAAGAUAUGGCUUUAAUAUUGUGAAGAAAAAGUAAAUAGACGGAUUAAUUGAGAUAUACUAUUCAAACAGGAUUAUACAUUAUAUACAAGUCAUACCAUGCUUUAAAG